GACGAACGCUGGCGGCGUGCCUAAUACAUGCAAGUAGAACGCACAGUUUAUACCGUAGCUUGCUACACCAUAGACUGUGAGUUGCGAACGGGUGAGUAACGCGUAGGUAACCUGCCUGGUAGCGGGGGAUAACUAUUGGAAACGAUAGCUAAUACCGCAUAAUAUUAAUUAUUGCAUGAUAAUUAAUUGAAAGGUGCAAUUGCACCACUACCAGAUGGACCUGCGUUGUAUUAGCUAGUAGGUGAGGUAACGGCUCACCUAGGCGACGAUACAUAGCCGAACUGAGAGGGUGAUCGGCCACACUGGGACUGAGACACGGCCCAGACUCCUACGGGAGGCAGCAGUAGGGAAUCUUCGGCAAUGGACGAAAGUCUGACCGAGCAACGCCGCGUGAGUGAAGAAGGUUGUCGGAUCGUAAAGCUCUGUUGUAAGAGAAGAACGGGUGUGAGAGUGGAAAGUUCACACUGUGACGGUAUCUUACCAGAAAGGGACGGCUAACUACGUG
RNAcentral lists this ribosomal RNA (505 nucleotides) under uncultured bacterium. RNAcentral's name for it is "partial 16S ribosomal RNA". It matches the Rfam family "Bacterial small subunit ribosomal RNA", at positions 28 to 507 of the family's 1533-position model. The record is from RNAcentral.